CGAAAAUUGUGUUAAAAAAUAAAGUUUAUUAAAACCAAAUAUUAAAAUAAUUGAUAUAAAAUUAAUGUUUAGAACUAUGUAGUAAAGUGUUGGUGAAUAAUGAGUGCAUAAUAUAAAAGAAAAAUUUAACUAUAAUUCGAGUGAUUGCGAGAUAAAAUUUGUACAGUUUUUAACAUAUAUGCUAAAUUCUCAAAAAUUAGUUGGCUAUUAUAUAUAUUCGUGAAGUCGUGGGCUGGCAUACUAAAGCCGACCGAAAAUGUCUAUGUAUUUGCAUAAGUUAGUUCCAUCAUUAUGCACCUUUGCAUCCCACCAACAAAAUUGCGCUGUCUGAACAGGUCUAAGCUAUUAUGAUAUGAUAUAUUAUUCACUAUCGAAAGGAUAUGUUGUUUGAAUGUAGUUCCGAUUUUUACGAAGGUCUAUAUUACAGAAUACAUUUGUUUAUUGGAGUUAUAAGUGCAUUAGUUAAAAAAAAGAAAUUAUUAAAAUGGAAACAGCUGAAUCUGAAAGACAGAAAGAAGGGAAGUGUACUGAAUUUGUAAUAAAUGGUGCCGAAGUUAAUCAAAAUAAUGAAGCAUCAGGUCCACUUUUAGAAGAAAAAGAUGUUGAUAGUGAAGAUGACAAUGACUAUGAGAUUCCGGUAUCCCAUUUGUUUUGUUUUGCCUUGGCUAUCUCGUUCGUUAAAAUCGGGGAAUCCCCGUGACCCCACCCCGCUUGGGUCGCACGCAUCGCGUCUGGUUGCAUUGACAAACUUACUCAUACUCAUACAAACUCGGCGCCUCUACGGCUCAAAAUAACUAGUAUUUUUUCUCUGGUUCAAAAGAACUGCCGCCGUUUUAACGUUUACCUCGUAACAAAACUAAUUUAGGUGGCAAUGGCUCGUGGCGGCGAACGCCCCUAUUGUCUUGGCGCCUGUGUGCUUCGCACACUUCGCACACAGGGGCGACAGAAGCUCUUUUUCGACAUAUUUGAGUGAAUAAAAAGAUUUACGCUUUAAAUGAAUGACAUAUACUGAAAAGAAGAAAAAAAAUUAACUUCGGUUGCACCGAAGCUAUAAUAUCCUACAGUAAUAAUGUGAAAAAGUCAAAAUAAAUCGUAUGGUGUUUUCGAUAAAUAAUGUUGUCCAACAAGCGUAAAAGUCAUCUAUAUAACAAGCUGAAGAAUAAAGGCACCAAUUUGUAACCGAAAUGAAUAUGUUUGCUACGUAUUAUAUCAACAUUUAGAAGCAGUGACGUCCAAAAAGCAGCGUCACCAGGUUAGCACUCUUUCGUCGGCCUAAUAUAAUUGUUUCUGAUGGGAAGCUUCUUCUGUCUUCUGUCACUGAUACAGAGAAAAAUGCUUGAUCAUUAAUCUCCUUAAAUUAUAUUGUAAAAUUGUACGAAUCCCUACUUAAUCCAAUAUAUAAGAUAAUUCUCAACAAGGCGGAAUCGACCUAUUAGUAAAAUAAUAUACAAAUGUUUAAAUUAAUUAAUAUAUAACUUUAAAAAUAUGUUCUUGGCUGAAAAAGUUAAACAAUAUUAAAAAAUGUAUAUGUGCUUACCUGUUGACCUUAUUUAAUAUUUUAAUUUCGAUUUUGAUUUCAAAA
Bactrocera oleae (olive fruit fly) is the source of this 1582-nucleotide non-coding RNA. The record is from RefSeq and is a predicted model, not a curated record. NCBI's taxonomy places the organism in Eukaryota, Metazoa, Arthropoda, Insecta, Diptera, Tephritidae.